UAGAGUUUGAUCCUGGCUCAGGAUGAACGCUGGCGGCGUGCUUAACACAUGCAAGUCGAACGGUGAAGGAGAGCUUGCUCUUUGGAUCAGUGGCGAACGGGUGAGUAACACGUGAGCAAUCUGCCCCUGACUCUGGGAUAACAGUUGGAAACAGCUGCUAAUACCGGAUAUGAGACGUGACCGCAUGGUCGACGUUUGGAAAGAAUUUCGGUCAGGGAUGAGCUCGCGGCCUAUCAGCUUGUUGGUGAGGUAAUGGCUCACCAAGGCGUCGACGGGUAGCCGGCCUGAGAGGGUGACCGGCCACACUGGGACUGAGACACGGCCCAGACUCCUACGGGAGGCAGCAGUGGGGAAUAUUGCACAAUGGGCGAAAGCCUGAUGCAGCAACGCCGCGUGAGGGACGACGGCCUUCGGGUUGUAAACCUCUUUUAGCAGGGAAGAAGCGAAAGUGACGGACCUGCAG
RNAcentral lists this ribosomal RNA (463 nucleotides) under Microbacterium oxydans. RNAcentral's name for it is "bacterial SSU rRNA". It matches the Rfam family "Bacterial small subunit ribosomal RNA", at positions 1 to 484 of the family's 1533-position model. The record is from RNAcentral. Lineage: Bacteria; Bacillati; Actinomycetota; Actinomycetes; Micrococcales; Microbacteriaceae.